This 305-nucleotide long non-coding RNA is filed under the name Astyanax mexicanus (Mexican tetra). Its description in RNAcentral is "lncRNA (ENSAMXG00005008746.1)". The record is from RNAcentral. Lineage: Eukaryota; Metazoa; Chordata; Actinopteri; Characiformes; Acestrorhamphidae.
CGCAGAGUCUCACAGUCAGACGCUGGAAGAUACUACUGUAAUGGAGAAACAGUGGAACUGACCGUAACAAAAAAUGGCAUGCCUACAAACCCCAGCAAAGCUUCUACAGCCCACCCUACUGUCUCAACAAACACUUCAGUCAGUGAACCAGAUGAAGACUCAUCUGGAAGAACACCUCAAAUUCUGUGGGCGGUCCUAGUCCUGGGUUGUGUGGUUGCUGGGCUCCUGGUAAUAAAGAAAGGUAAUGUUUUAUUUAUUUACUGCUCUAUAGCUGUAAAUGAUGACCUGUCUGAAAUUAAUGAAAC